AUUGAACGCUGGCGGCAGGCCUAACACAUGCAAGUCGAGCGGUUGAGGUAGCUUGCUACCGAUGCAGCGGCGAACGGGUGAGUAAUACAUGGGAAUCUGCCUGGUAGUGGGGGACAACGUUUCGAAAGGAACGCUAAUACCGCAUACGCCCUACGGGGGAAAGGGGGGGAUCUUCGGACCUCUCGCUAUCAGAUGAGCCCAUGUCAGAUUAGCUUGUUGGUGAGGUAAAGGCUCACCAAGGCGACGAUCUGUAACUGGUCUGAGAGGAUGAUCAGUCACACUGGAACUGAGACACGGUCCAGACUCCUACGGGAGGCAGCAGUGGGGAAUAUUGGACAAUGGGGGCAACCCUGAUCCAGCCAUGCCGCGUGUGUGAAGAAGGCCUUAGGGUUGUAAAGCACUUUCAGUGGGGAGAAAGGUGAUUCACCUAAUACGUGAGUCAAUUGAUGCUACCCACAGAAGAAGCACCGGCUAACUCCGUGCCAGCCGCCGCGGUAA
RNAcentral lists this ribosomal RNA (498 nucleotides) under uncultured bacterium. RNAcentral's name for it is "partial 16S ribosomal RNA". It matches the Rfam family "Bacterial small subunit ribosomal RNA", at positions 30 to 523 of the family's 1533-position model. The record is from RNAcentral.